AGCCACUGAUGACAAACUCAAUAUUUUCUGACACCUCGUAUGAGAGCUGAAACAGCUCCUGAUUCAGACUCUGCUCUGAGGCUG
Molecule: small nucleolar RNA, 84 nt
Organism: Sphaeramia orbicularis (orbiculate cardinalfish)
Lineage: Eukaryota; Metazoa; Chordata; Actinopteri; Kurtiformes; Apogonidae
Product: small nucleolar RNA SNORD60
Source: Ensembl